This 483-nucleotide ribosomal RNA is filed under the name uncultured bacterium. RNAcentral describes it as "partial 16S ribosomal RNA". It matches the Rfam family "Bacterial small subunit ribosomal RNA", at positions 30 to 507 of the family's 1533-position model. The record is from RNAcentral.
AUUGAACGCUGGCGGCAGGCCUAACACAUGCAAGUCGAGCGGAUGAAGGGAGCUUGCUCCUGGAUUCAGCGGCGGACGGGUGAGUAAUGCCUAGGAAUCUGCCUGGUAGUGGGGGAUAACGUCCGGAAACGGGCGCCAAUACCGCAUACGUCCUGAGGGAGAAAGUGGGGGAUCUUCGGACCUCACGCUAUCAGAUGAGCCUAGGUCGGAUUAGCUAGUUGGUGGGGUAAGGCCUACCAAGGCGACGAUCCGUAACUGGUCUGAGAGGAUGAUCAGUCACACUGGAACUGAGACACGGUCCAGACUCCUACGGGAGGCAGCAGUGGGGAAUAUUGGACAAUGGGCGAAAGCCUGAUCCAGCCAUGCCGCGUGUGUGAAGAAGGUCUUCGGAUUGUAAAGCACUUUAAGUUGGGAGGAAGGGCAGUAAGUUAAUACCUUGCUGUUUUGACGUUACCAACAGAAUAAGCACCGGCUAACUUCGUG